This is a non-coding RNA of Oreochromis niloticus (Nile tilapia), 403 nucleotides long. The record is from the annotation of a RefSeq genome assembly. NCBI's taxonomy places the organism in Eukaryota, Metazoa, Chordata, Actinopteri, Cichliformes, Cichlidae.
AAACAUGACUUUGAUCUGCGUCCUCAUCUGGACUCUCCUCUGCUGCUGCUUCACAGAGUCCAGAGGACAGAUCACAGUGACUCAGCCUGGAGCAGUGAGCUCUGCUGUGGGAGGAUCUGUGAAUAUCAAGUGUAGGACCAGUCAGAACGUUUAUGUUUAUAACAACUACCAUCUUUUAGCCUGGUACCAACAGAAAGAUGGACAACCUCCCAAACGUCUCAUUUACUGGUCUAGCACUCGAGAUUCAGGGAUUCCAGCUCGUUUUACAGGCAGUGGAUCAAACUCUGACUUCACUCUGACCAUCAGUGGAGUCCAGGCUGAAGAUGCAGCAGUUUAUUACUGUCAGAGUGAACACUACAUGAACAGCCAACACGUGUUCACACAGUGAAAAACAGUCGUACAA